GUCAGCUCGUGUCGUGAGAUGUGGUUAAGUCCCGCAACGAGCGCAACCCCUAUUGUUAGUUGCCAUCAUUCAGUUGGGCACUCUAGCGAGACUGCCGGUAAUAAACCGGAGGAAGGUGGGGAUGACGUCAAAUCAUCAUGCCCCUUAUGACCUGGGCUACACACGUGCUACAAUGGUUGGUACAACGAGUUGCGAGUCGGUGACGGCGAGCUAAUCUCUUAAAGCCAAUCUCAGUUCGGAUUGUAGGCUGCAACUCGCCUACAUGAAGUCGGAAUCGCUAGUAAUCGCGGAUCAGCACGCCGCGGUGAAUACGUUCCCGGGCCUU
This 325-nucleotide ribosomal RNA is filed under the name uncultured Streptococcus sp. RNAcentral describes it as "bacterial SSU rRNA". It matches the Rfam family "Bacterial small subunit ribosomal RNA", at positions 1054 to 1382 of the family's 1533-position model. The record is from RNAcentral. Lineage: Bacteria; Bacillati; Bacillota; Bacilli; Lactobacillales; Streptococcaceae.